GCCCCCGUAGCUCAGGGGAUAGAGCGGCGCCCUCCGGAGGCGUAGGCGCAGGUUCGAAUCCUGCCGGGGGCACCA
This 75-nucleotide transfer RNA is filed under the name Rhodococcus aerolatus. Its description in RNAcentral is "tRNA-Arg". It matches the Rfam family "tRNA". From Rfam's summary of the family: Transfer RNA (tRNA) molecules are approximately 80 nucleotides in length. The record is from RNAcentral. RNAcentral also lists the same sequence under 4 other names. Lineage: Bacteria; Bacillati; Actinomycetota; Actinomycetes; Mycobacteriales; Nocardiaceae.